CCAAGUUAUACUAACCAGUUUGGAAAUACUGGUCUCAGCAGAUUUUGGAAGCUGAGCAGUAUUGGGCCUGGGUAGUGGUUGGGUGGGAGACCACCAAGCAAUACCAGAGAUCCCCAGGC
This 119-nucleotide ribosomal RNA is filed under the name Pogona vitticeps (central bearded dragon). Lineage: Eukaryota; Metazoa; Chordata; Lepidosauria; Squamata; Agamidae. The record is from RNAcentral.